AGCCGUGCAGUGAGCACAGAGCGAACUAUUCUUUCGCCUUUUACUAGAGAAUACCGUGUGCUCGCUGCAGAAAGCGGCAUACGCCAAUUUUUGGAAGGGCUUUUUCCUCUUUGGAAAGU
This 119-nucleotide small nuclear RNA is filed under the name Corchorus capsularis. RNAcentral's name for it is "snRNA U5". It matches the Rfam family "U5 spliceosomal RNA". Rfam says of the family: U5 RNA is a component of both types of known spliceosome. The precise function of this molecule is unknown, though it is known that the 5' loop is required for splice site selection and p220 binding, and that both the 3' stem-loop and the Sm site are important for Sm protein binding and cap methylation. The record is from Rfam by way of RNAcentral. Lineage: Eukaryota; Viridiplantae; Streptophyta; Magnoliopsida; Malvales; Malvaceae.